RNAcentral lists this microRNA precursor (129 nucleotides) under Gossypium hirsutum (cotton). RNAcentral's name for it is "MIR7502 microRNA precursor family". It matches the Rfam family "MIR7502 microRNA precursor family". Lineage: Eukaryota; Viridiplantae; Streptophyta; Magnoliopsida; Malvales; Malvaceae. The record is from Rfam by way of RNAcentral.
UGUUAAAAUUUUCAUCCAUUUGUGCUAUUAAAAACUACCAUGGCUAAUGAAAUAAUCAAAUAGUGACACGUGACAUGCUGACAUGUAAGGCCCUUUUUUAAACAGUACAAAUGGAUGAAAUGUUUAACA